Rattus norvegicus (Norway rat) is the source of this 1927-nucleotide long non-coding RNA. RefSeq lists it as uncharacterized. NCBI's taxonomy places the organism in Eukaryota, Metazoa, Chordata, Mammalia, Rodentia, Muridae. The record is from RefSeq and is a predicted model, not a curated record.
CUUGCUCUUGCGUCCUCUUCGCUUCUAUUUUAGAGUCUAGUGCCAGCACAUACCCAGACUGUGUGAUCCCAUUUCUCUUUGGAAUGAACAUGGAAAACAACUAGGUUUCCAGAGACGGCUUCAUAUUCUUGAUUAAUAUUUUGCCAUGUUUUAUGAAUUUCCAAUUUUUUUUCUGGACUUCAUAUAAUUGGCAUUUAAAUGAGACUCCAGAACUGAACCUUGCUCUCUCCUUGGACUCAACUGACCUCUGAAGGUUUUCAACAGCUUUGGACGAGUCACUCAGAGGACUCUAGUGAUCGUGAUUAAAUGUUGACAGAUGUGGGAAAGAAUGUCAGGGCUUAGCAUUUUCAGGGAAAACGAAGCUAUUUUCUAACAUGGCUGCACUUCGUACAGUAGAGUCCUAGCUGUGUUACCAGCACACAUAGCUCAAAGCCAGCAGCAUCACUGCCACCAGCAUUGGGCCAGCGCUUCAAUCUCUCCUCUCCAUCAUCAGUUAUCACCUGCCUCCUUUGUGAUGACCUUUCUCCUGGGCGUCAAAUAGAACAUCGUUUUGGUUACAUUUGCAUUUCUCUAAUGACUUACAAAGUUACAUAUCUUUCCCUAUAUUUAUUAGCCACGAUAUGGUUUUAUUUAAUGUUUUCUUUUUGUAUUCUAAUCCUUUACCUAUUUUUUAAAUAAGUUAUCUUUUUAUUGUUGAAAGGAAAGAGCCGUUAUAUUUAUACGUGCUUUAGCAGAUAUAAAAGGACUUUAGCAGAUAUAUAAUUUACAAUUAUGACUUCAAAAGUGUGGGCUUCUUAUCCAAGUUUUCCAUAGAUUGGUAUGAAAUCAUUUACAACGCCUUGUAAAUCCAGUAAUGAUCUGCUUCCUUUCUUGCCCGGCACUCAUAAUCUGUAUUUCCUUUUUCUUUCCUGACCAGUCUUAAAAAUGCUAAUGUGAAUCAAGCUAAUAAUGGCGAUUAAACCCUCAUAAUUUUUAAAGUCCAGCCAUCCAGCCCAUCAUGAUUAUGUGCAGCUAUGAUUUUGUGCAUGGGCAGGGACGAGACAACUUAAAAGAUAGCAUCUUGCCAAUUCUUUUUAACGUUUUUGUUUUGUUGGGGUUUAUUCCAGACAGGGUUUCUCUGUGCAGCCCCGACUGUCCUUGAACUUGCUUUGUAGACCAGGCUGGCCUCAAACCCAGAGAUCGACCUUCUCCUGCCUCUUGCAGGAAUCAGAGGUAUGUGACACCACUGCCCGGCCCACUUUGACAAUUUAAUGAGUAGCAUGCCGUUAACCGCUGUCACCAUGAUGGGCAUUAGAGCUUAGAGCUUACAUUUGUGGCUAAACGUUUGUACUCUGUGAGCAACAUCUUCCCACUUCUCCAACUUCUAGAACUAAAGCCACUACUUCCGGUGUGUAUGACUUUGCCUCUUCACUCCAGACCUCAGCGAGACCAUACGCUAGUUGUCCUCUUUGAACUGUAUUUCACCCUCGCAUCCUCCAAUUUCAUCCACAUACGGGGUUCCCUUGGAUUGCUGAAUAAUAGUUCACACAUAUAUACAUACCCCAUUUUGUUUACCCAUUAAUCCUGGAAGUGAUUCUUAACCAUGACAUGAAAAACGCAGACAACAGAAGGAGAAGUGGAGUGACACCAGAUCAAAAACCUCCUGUGCACUGAUCUUUCAAGCAAAGGAAGGCCCUCUGGUUACAGGUGCCUGUCUUGAAGGGUUGAAAAGUCAUCCUGGAUGCAGGUAUAAAUUCUACGAGCCCUAGCUGGAGAGAAGCCACUCGGACGUGUCACCUGAGGGAGGAGGCAACGAGGCUUGAUUUGUUGCAUCUCACACUUGACAGUCACAAGCGCUGACACCCACGUUCAUCUCGGAAGUCCUCUAAACUAGCAUGUAUUAAGUGAACCUUUCUUACAACCUGGAAUAAAUCCUUGUUUGUUGUCA